UCCAAAGACUACAGGCAGGUCUCCAUUGCC
This 30-nucleotide non-coding RNA is filed under the name Mus musculus (house mouse). The record is from RNAcentral. Lineage: Eukaryota; Metazoa; Chordata; Mammalia; Rodentia; Muridae. RNAcentral also lists the same sequence under 1 other name.